This 423-nucleotide ribosomal RNA is filed under the name uncultured bacterium. RNAcentral's name for it is "bacterial SSU rRNA". It matches the Rfam family "Bacterial small subunit ribosomal RNA", at positions 207 to 622 of the family's 1533-position model. The record is from RNAcentral.
AAGACCUUACGCUUUUGGAGCGGCCGAUGUCUGAUUAGCUUGUUGGUGAGGUAAAGGCUUACCAAGGCUUCGAUCAGUAGCUGGUCUGAGAGGACGACCAGCCACACUGGGACUGAGACACGGCCCAGACUCCUACGGGAGGCAGCAGUGGGGAAUUUUGGACAAUGGGGGCAACCCUGAUCCAGCCAUGCCGCGUGAGUGAAGAAGGCCUUCGGGUUGUAAAGCUCUUUCAGCCGGAACGAAACGGUUACGGUUAAUACCCGUGACUACUGACGGUACCGGAAGAAGAAGCACCGGCUAACUACGUGCCAGCAGCCGCGGUAAUACGUAGGGUGCAAGCGUUAAUCGGAAUUACUGGGCGUAAAGCGUGCGCAGGUGGUUUCGUAAGUCAGAUGUGAAAUCCCCGGGCUUAACCUGGGAACU